Molecule: long non-coding RNA, 863 nt
Organism: Corticium candelabrum
Lineage: Eukaryota; Metazoa; Porifera; Homoscleromorpha; Homosclerophorida; Plakinidae
Exons: 6
Source: RefSeq, a predicted model, not a curated record
GAAUUGAGACGUUAGUCAUGUCUGUUGAAAGGUUUGCUUUGUAUGUUUAUGCCACUGAAAAGCCAGUUUUGUCUCUUCGGUUUUUCUGUUGCAGGGCGGUGAGAAAGGUGAUCGACCUACGGGACAUAAUCUCGGUCACAGUAUGAGCGCACUUGUUGGGUUCUACAGCUUUCAGAAAUUCUCUUGUGGAAGUGGUGGAGAAGGCAACGACAUCACAAUCUCAUUCACUACAUCCACUGUCUCUUGUGUAUAUAUUCAGAUCUAUCCGUUUCUAUGCCAUCAAUGAGACAACGUGCCAUCUUUGUUGCAGCAAUUGAAGAAAAUUCAGAAGAGUCACCAGACAGAACAGUCACACAAACGUCUGUCACAAGCAAUACAAUCGAUAAGCUCUGACAUUCCUGCAUGGAAUGGCUACAGAAUCGAAAGCAAAGAAACAAACUUCAACAGGAGGAGAUAUGCCUGAUUGAGUGAAGAAAUUUGAAAUGGAACAUUCAGUUGUACGUGGUUUAGGAAGAUGGAGUGAGAUAGAAAGAUAAAGUCGGAUAGAAAGCUCUUCAUGUUCUCCGUCUAUCAGUAGGAAUAAUAGUGACACAUCAAAUGGUCUUCCUCUCCUGUCAUUGUGGUCACGUGAUGUUACUUAACCUGUCACGUGAUGUUACUCUACAGGUCACGUGGUGCUUGUAACGCUAUAGAUGAGAACAACCGUCUCAUAGUGUGAAGACUGAAUAUUUAAUUCUAGAUACUUUUAUUUGUUUAAGAGAUGUUUUGUGUUAUGAAAUAUAGAGUAGAAUGUAAAUAGUAGACAAUGAUAUAGAAUACUCUAAAAUAGUUAUGAUUCACGAGUAUUUCCGGGUAAGCCAGUG